AUAACUCCGGAAUAGCCUUUCGAAAGAAAGAUUAAUACCGGAUAGCAUACGAAUAUCGCAUGAUAUUUUUAUUAAAGAAUUUCGGUCAUCGAUGGGGAUGCGUUCCAUUAGGUUGUUGGCGGGGUAACGGCCCACCAAGCCUUCGAUGGAUAGGGGUUCUGAGAGGAAGGUCCCCCACAUUGAAACUGAGACACGGUCCAAACUCCUACGGGAGGCAGCAUG
Molecule: ribosomal RNA, 222 nt
Filed under: uncultured bacterium
Lineage: Bacteria
Description: partial 16S ribosomal RNA
Rfam family: Bacterial small subunit ribosomal RNA
Source: RNAcentral